CCUUGCAAGCCUGUGUCUGAUAUAUUAGAUCAAAACAUAUUCCUGUCUCCAAAUGCUAACAGUAGCACAUUCAAUUCUCUGGAUUUCAGGAGCUAAAGUGGGUGUUGCAGGAAGUUUGGCACUGUUUUUCUUUACAGAAUAAUAAACACAGAUGAUGAUGCUUUGGCUUUAUAUAGAUAUGGAGGCUCUUUACUCAUAAAAGCUGAUUCACAGACAAAUGGUGAUUUUUGGCUUUUAAAAAAUAACUACUGGAGUAGAUAGAAAUAACUGUAAGAAUUUCUCACAGCGCAGACUGGUGAUUUAUUCUCUCUCUUUUUUUUUUUCCUUAGAGACCAUUUUAGAGUUCAUUUUUCUAACCCGUACAUUAGAUUAUUAUAUUCUAUAACACUUUCUGCUUUUCUCUUUUCCAGGAGGCCAGAGCAUAGCUGUGGACCUGUGGCUUCUCUUUCUGUGAGCUCUGACAGAGUCUA
RNAcentral lists this long non-coding RNA (470 nucleotides) under Phasianus colchicus (ring-necked pheasant). Its description in RNAcentral is "lncRNA (ENSPCLG00000011041.1)". The record is from RNAcentral. Lineage: Eukaryota; Metazoa; Chordata; Aves; Galliformes; Phasianidae.